UAGACACUCGGAACACUCAUGGAAGCCACUGUAGUCUCUAAUUUUCAUGCAUUGUUCAAAGAAUUAAUAAAAAAAGAUGUGCCAUCUACUAAAGAUGGUGAACCUCAUCAUGCUUGUGGAGACAAUAAACAAAGUGAAAUAGAAGAACAUCAAGGUCAAGGUACAUGCACUUUACUUAAUAUUGUUUUAGUUAAGAACAAGUUACAUUUAUUUUGGUUUGGUAUUGGACUCUUGAGGUUAUACAUUAUGUUUACAGGCACUUAAGGUGGAUUUACAAUAUUAUGCUAGGCCAACGUACCAUCAAAUAUUAAUCGAAAGUGUGGGCUAUUUGACCUUUU
Long non-coding RNA from Amphimedon queenslandica, 338 nucleotides. RefSeq lists it as uncharacterized. NCBI's taxonomy places the organism in Eukaryota, Metazoa, Porifera, Demospongiae, Haplosclerida, Niphatidae. The transcript is spliced from 3 exons. The record is from RefSeq and is a predicted model, not a curated record.